This 253-nucleotide ribosomal RNA is filed under the name uncultured bacterium. Its description in RNAcentral is "partial 16S ribosomal RNA". It matches the Rfam family "Bacterial small subunit ribosomal RNA", at positions 524 to 776 of the family's 1533-position model. The record is from RNAcentral.
UACGGAGGGUGCAAGCGUUGUCCGGAUUUAUUGGGUUUAAAGGGUGCGUAGGUGGUUUUGUAAGUCUGGUUUGAAAGCAGGUCGCUCAACGAUCUGAUGUGGCUGGAAACUGUGGAACUUGAAUGUGUUGGCGGAAGCCGGAACGGGUCAUGUAGCGGUGAAAUGCAUAGAUAUGACCCAGAACCCCGAUUGCGAAGGCAGGCUUCCAGGACAUGAUUGACACUGAGGCACGAGAGCAUGGGGAGCCAACAGG